AAUAAAAAUCAUGUUUAGAAGAGUCUUUCUACAUUUCAUCCCUUCUUUAUGUGUAUUAUGAUUCCUGUCUUAUGGUUCUUCAAAAAGUUUCCAUUUUUAUAAUGCUGACAGUUGUAACCUUUUUUGCUUUUUCCAGAGGAAAGCCCAAGGACAAGGGACAUGUGAGUUUGCAGGAACAACUACUGCUAUAACAUCUGACCCUACAUUGGUGGGUUUGUCUACCCUUCAAGCGCCAGGUGAACAUGGAGUAUGAUCUUGAUCCAACCAUUGCGAAAGAGG
This is a long non-coding RNA of Lotus japonicus, 279 nucleotides long. RefSeq lists it as uncharacterized. Lineage: Eukaryota; Viridiplantae; Streptophyta; Magnoliopsida; Fabales; Fabaceae. The record is from RefSeq and is a predicted model, not a curated record. The transcript is spliced from 3 exons.